This 246-nucleotide ribosomal RNA is filed under the name uncultured bacterium. Its description in RNAcentral is "partial 16S ribosomal RNA". It matches the Rfam family "Bacterial small subunit ribosomal RNA", at positions 27 to 262 of the family's 1533-position model. The record is from RNAcentral.
GGACGAACGCUGGCGGCGUGCCUAACACAUGCAAGUCAGGGAGAAAGAGGUAGCAAUAUCUCGAGUAAACCGGCGAACGGGUGAGUAACACGUAGGUAACCUGCCCUCGAGUUGGGAAUAACUUCGAGAAAUCGAGGCUAAUACCGGAUAAUGCAACGAACUCGCAUGGGUUUGUUGUUAAAGUUCCGCGCAAGCGGAACGCUUGAGGAUGGACCUGCGGCCGAUUAGCUAGUUGGCGGAGUAACA